GUAAUAAGAAGGAGGCAAGCGUCAUCCAGAAUAAUUGGGCGUAAAGCGCGCGCAGGCGGUCUUUUAAGCCUGAUGAGAAAGCCCACGGCUCAACCCAGGAGGGUCAUUGGAAACUGGCAAACCUGAGUGCCGAAGAGGUCAGAGGAACUCCAUGUCUAGCGGUGAACUGCGCCGAGCUAUGGAUGAACACCAGUCGGGCAUGCGACUUUCUCGUCUGUAACUGACGCUGAUGUGCGAAAGCGUGGGGAUCAAACAGGAUUAGAUACCCUGGUAGUCCACGCCGUAAACGAUGAGUGCUAAGUGUUAGGGGGUUUCCGCCCCUUAGUGCUGCAGCUAACGCAUUAAGCAC
RNAcentral lists this ribosomal RNA (349 nucleotides) under Staphylococcus aureus. RNAcentral's name for it is "bacterial SSU rRNA". It matches the Rfam family "Bacterial small subunit ribosomal RNA", at positions 520 to 867 of the family's 1533-position model. Lineage: Bacteria; Bacillati; Bacillota; Bacilli; Caryophanales; Staphylococcaceae. The record is from RNAcentral.